AUCCUAUUGUCAUGAACAUGUAUCAUGUGAUUCAAGUCUCUGGAUUCACUAUGAUGCUUAAGAAUUAAUAUGUUGUUUCUGUGGAUUAUAUCACAAAACUUUUGAUUUCCUUGAGUCUGGAAAUCAAUAUGAGUGCUUCUUUUACAGUUGUGCCUGCAAGUGCGACAUCGUUUGACAAGAACUGCAGUCCUCUAUUGGAGCUUGGAACAGGCCCUUACGAUACUGUUGGAUGGAACCGAAAAGGGACAUGUAUCCUUGAAGCAAUAACUUUUGCCGUUUACUUUACGUUAAUUUUGUAUAAUUUGAUUAAAUUGAAGCAGCUAAUUGACCAUUCUUUUGAUCUUAUAUUUUGCAAUCUUAAUUCUUCUGUUCACAGUUCUGUGCUUGGCUGGCUUUGGUAACUUACAUGGUGAUAUGGCAUUUAAGUUUAGGAUGCUCAUUCUCUGUUGUUCUUCUUGUCUAUAAUAUCUUCAUUUGGAAAUAGGAAGUUACACUUAUUUCCUCUGUUGACAUCCCUUGUCAUCGUAUAGAAGGAAAUCACAUUUUAGCGCUGCCCUGGUUCAUCAAAUCAACAUAUUAAUUUGAGACUUCUAUGCAUUAUCCACCGACUUAUUUCUCAUUAAAAUGCUGUUUUUGGCUUGUACCAUUCUUUUUUUUUUAAAUGAUUUUUUUUGCAACUUAGUUGUAACUUAACACCCUUCUUCUACAUGCAAAAAAAAGAAAAAGAAAAGCUGUUAAUUUUCAAUUUGCUUCAAAUUCAGAUGCUGUCUUGAGGGUUGAUGCUUCAGUUGUAAGGAUACUUUCUCAUUAAAAUGCUGCUUGCUUAUAUCUGCUGCUUUUAUUGUGCUCUGUAGCGGUAACUUGAUGCCCUUCUCUCACAGACGAUAAAAAGAAUUAAGCAGAGAAACUGUUACCAUUCAAUCCUAUAUACUGAGUUAACUUUCUGCUUGUGACUGCCAAAUGGUUGAGUUCUUACUUAUACCUUGUUUUGUGUUUAAUUAUGCUUAGGAAUUUUGGGACUAUGCAAACAUGUUUUGUGUAAUUAUGCUUAAGCAUUUUGGGACUAUACAAACAUAAAAACAACUUGGAACAACUACCACAGAAUGUUCUGUGACUACUGAGUGGUCUCCAGACGGACAGUAUUUCAUGACUGCGACAACAGCCCCGAGACUACAAGUUGACAAUGGAUUGAGGUGAUCAAAUGGAGCAGAAGUAUAUAAGCAAAUGAAAAGAGUUCACUGUAGCAGUUUAUGGUGGCAGGGUUUGAGGAAGAACUUGUAAAGAUGAUUGUAACAUUUUUGUGGGCUCUAGUGAAGAUUUACAAACAAAAUAAUGGAUCAUACAAUUCAAGAAACAUGGAAAAUAAUUAAUUACA
Jatropha curcas is the source of this 1375-nucleotide non-coding RNA. NCBI's taxonomy places the organism in Eukaryota, Viridiplantae, Streptophyta, Magnoliopsida, Malpighiales, Euphorbiaceae. The record is from RefSeq and is a predicted model, not a curated record.